RNAcentral lists this ribosomal RNA (440 nucleotides) under uncultured bacterium. Its description in RNAcentral is "partial 16S ribosomal RNA". It matches the Rfam family "Bacterial small subunit ribosomal RNA", at positions 338 to 795 of the family's 1533-position model. The record is from RNAcentral.
CCUACGGGUGGCAGCAGUGGGGAAUAUUGCACAAUGGGGGAAACCCUGAUGCAGCGACGCCGCGUGAGCGAUGAAGUAUUUCGGUAUGUAAAGCUCUAUCAGCAGGGAAGAAGAUGACGGUACCUGACUAAGAAGCCCCGGCUAACUACGUGCCAGCAGCCGCGGUAAUACGUAGGGGGCAAGCGUUAUCCGGAUUUACUGGGUGUAAAGGGAGCGUAGACGGCGAUGCAAGCCAGAUGUGAAAGCCCGGGGCUCAACCCCGGGACUGCAUUUGGAAGUGUGUGGCUGGAGUGUCGGAGAGGCAGGCGGAAUUCCUAGUGUAGCGGUGAAAUGCGUAGAUAUUAGGAGGAACCCCGAUUGCGAAGGCAGCCUUCCGGCGCCCUACUGACGCUGAGGCACGAAAGUGCGGGGAUCGAACAGGAUUAGAUACCCCUGUAGUG